UUGGCAUGUUUCGGAAGUGUUCGUGUUGAAAUCGGAGCAAAAACAGAAGAUUUGAAAUUUUCUGUAAAGAACGGGACUGAGAAAUUAGCAGAAAAUGCACGGUGUCAGAAAAUUAUGAAAAUUGGCAGAGAUGUCAGGAACAUUUUUAUGAGGCUAGAUUUGAAGUUUCAGAUUUUUCUGACACCUGUAGAGAGAGAAAUAGCAUUUGGAAGUUAUCGGAUAAAGAUUGCAGUUCGGUACAGUUCGCAGUGACCAAACGGGGUCGAAACUGAAAUGUUAAAAUUU
This 285-nucleotide long non-coding RNA is filed under the name Ananas comosus (pineapple). RNAcentral's name for it is "long non-coding RNA (ACOM_LNC014730)". The record is from RNAcentral. Lineage: Eukaryota; Viridiplantae; Streptophyta; Magnoliopsida; Poales; Bromeliaceae.